RNAcentral lists this ribosomal RNA (253 nucleotides) under uncultured bacterium. RNAcentral's name for it is "partial 16S ribosomal RNA". It matches the Rfam family "Bacterial small subunit ribosomal RNA", at positions 524 to 776 of the family's 1533-position model. The record is from RNAcentral.
UACGUAGGGGGCUAGCGUUGUCCGGAAUUACUGGGCGUAAAGGGCGCGUAGGCGGCCUUCUAAGUCGAACGUGAAAUCCCCGGGCUCAACCCGGGAACUGCGUCCGAUACUGGAAGGCUUGAAUCCGGGAGAGGGAUGUGGAAUUCCAGGUGUAGCGGUGAAAUGCGUAGAUAUCUGGAGGAACACCGGUGGCGAAGGCGACAUCCUGGACCGGUAUUGACGCUGAGGCGCGAAAGCCAGGGGAGCAAACGGG